RNAcentral lists this transfer RNA (84 nucleotides) under Pterocladiophila hemisphaerica. RNAcentral describes it as "tRNA-Leu". It matches the Rfam family "tRNA". From Rfam's summary of the family: Transfer RNA (tRNA) molecules are approximately 80 nucleotides in length. Their secondary structure includes four short double-helical elements and three loops (D, anti-codon, and T loops). Further hydrogen bonds mediate the characteristic L-shaped molecular structure. tRNAs have two regions of fundamental functional importance: the anti-codon, which is responsible for specific mRNA codon recognition, and the 3' end, to which the tRNAs corresponding amino acid is attached (by aminoacyl-tRNA synthetases). tRNAs cope with the degeneracy of the genetic code in two manners: having more than one tRNA (with a specific anti-codon) for a particular amino acid; and 'wobble' base-pairing, i.e. permitting non-standard base-pairing at the 3rd anti-codon position. Lineage: Eukaryota; Rhodophyta; Florideophyceae; Gracilariales; Pterocladiophilaceae. The record is from RNAcentral.
GCUCGCUUGGUGAAAUUUGGUAAACACGAUGGAUUUAAAAUUCAUUCUUAAAUUAAGUUACUGGUUCAAAUCCAGUAGUGAGUA